CCGCGGCCGGUGUUUUUCCGAAGUGAUGUGAUCAGCGGAUUAGUCGGUGAGUGCCGCUCGCAGAAAAAACCCCGACAGCC
RNAcentral lists this small RNA (80 nucleotides) under Robbsia andropogonis. Its description in RNAcentral is "Burkholderia andropogonis Proteo-phage-1 RNA". It matches the Rfam family "Proteo-phage-1 RNA". Lineage: Bacteria; Pseudomonadati; Pseudomonadota; Betaproteobacteria; Burkholderiales; Burkholderiaceae. The record is from Rfam by way of RNAcentral.